GCCAUGGCACUAAGAGGGGUAAACUUGGCUGGAAGUGUGGAUACUGUAAUGCAAGCCACGCAAGCGGAGGUGCUACACGUCUAAGGGAACAUUUGUGUGGAUUACAAGGUUCGAGACAUGGGGAACCAACUCCUUUGCGUCCAAGAUCAACAAGAAAAAGGAAGCCAACUCUCAAGAGCAUUACUGAAUUAUAAAUGUGUUGUAUGGCUCCAAGGAAAAGAUCUGGAUAUGGCAAUGCUUCACUGAUUAAUGUCUUUUGGCGAUGUGUCGUCGGCUUAAAUAGACGCCUAACUUUUGUAACAUAAUAAUAUUUGAAGCUGCCAUUACUUUUACUAUCUAAUGGACUGUAAUAUGUGAUUUGGUGGUGACUUAA
Molecule: long non-coding RNA, 373 nt
Organism: Zea mays
Lineage: Eukaryota; Viridiplantae; Streptophyta; Magnoliopsida; Poales; Poaceae
Exons: 3
Source: RefSeq, a predicted model, not a curated record